RNAcentral lists this ribosomal RNA (497 nucleotides) under uncultured bacterium. Its description in RNAcentral is "partial 16S ribosomal RNA". It matches the Rfam family "Bacterial small subunit ribosomal RNA", at positions 28 to 507 of the family's 1533-position model. The record is from RNAcentral.
GAUGAACGCUGGCGGCGUGCCUAAUACAUGCAAGUCGAGCGACCAGACGAGGAGCUUGCUCCUCUGCCGUUAGCGGCUGACGGGCGAGUAACACGUGGAUAACCUACUUCUAAGACUUGGAUAACUUCGGGAAACCGGAGCUAAUACCAGCUAAUAUAUUGUACCGCAUGGAUCAAUGGUGCUAGACGCUUUUGCUGACUCUAUUAGCUGAUUCCGCGCCGCAUUAGCUAGUUGGUAAGGUAACGGCUUACCAAGGCGACGAUGCGUAGCCGACCUGAGAGGGUGAUCAGCCACACUGGAACUGAGACACGGUCCAGACUCCUACGGGAGGCAGCAGUAGGGAAUAUUCCGCAAUGGGCGAAAGCCUGACGGAGCAACGCCGCGUGAGUGAUGAAGGUCUUCGGAUCGUAAAACUCUGUUAUUAGGGAAGAACAAAUGUGUAAUUAACUAUGCACGUCUUGACGGUACCUAAUCAGAAAGCCACGGCUAACUACGUG